This is a transfer RNA of Camelus ferus (Wild Bactrian camel), 72 nucleotides long. It matches the Rfam family "tRNA". From Rfam's summary of the family: Transfer RNA (tRNA) molecules are approximately 80 nucleotides in length. Their secondary structure includes four short double-helical elements and three loops (D, anti-codon, and T loops). Further hydrogen bonds mediate the characteristic L-shaped molecular structure. tRNAs have two regions of fundamental functional importance: the anti-codon, which is responsible for specific mRNA codon recognition, and the 3' end, to which the tRNAs corresponding amino acid is attached (by aminoacyl-tRNA synthetases). tRNAs cope with the degeneracy of the genetic code in two manners: having more than one tRNA (with a specific anti-codon) for a particular amino acid; and 'wobble' base-pairing, i.e. permitting non-standard base-pairing at the 3rd anti-codon position. NCBI's taxonomy places the organism in Eukaryota, Metazoa, Chordata, Mammalia, Artiodactyla, Camelidae. The record is from Rfam.
GAGGGUAGAGCUCAGUGGUAGAGUGUGUGCUUAGCAUGCAGGAGGUCCUGGGUUCAAGCCCCAGUACCACCA